This 496-nucleotide ribosomal RNA is filed under the name uncultured bacterium. RNAcentral's name for it is "partial 16S ribosomal RNA". It matches the Rfam family "Bacterial small subunit ribosomal RNA", at positions 28 to 507 of the family's 1533-position model. The record is from RNAcentral.
GAUGAACGCUGGCGGCGUGCCUAAUACAUGCCAGUCGAGCGAACAGACGAGGAGCUUGCUCCUCUGACGUUAGCGGCGGACGGGUGAGUAACACGUGGAUAACCUACCUAUAAGACUGGGAUAACUUCGGGAAACCGGAGCUAAUACCGGAUAAUAUAUUGAACCGCAUGGUUCAAUAGUGAAAGACGGUUUUGCUGUCACUUAUAGAUGGAUCCGCGCCGCAUUAGCUAGUUGGUAAGGUAACGGCUUACCAAGGCGACGAUGCGUAGCCGACCUGAGAGGGUGAUCGGCCACACUGAACUGAGACACGGUCCAGACUCCUACGGGAGGCAGCAGUAGGGAAUCUUCCGCAAUGGGCGAAAGCCUGACGGAGCAACGCCGCGUGAGUGAUGAAGGUCUUCGGAUCGUAAAACUCUGUUAUUAGGGAAGAACAAAUGUGUAAGUAACUAUGCACGUCUUGACGGUACCUAAUCAGAAAGCCACGGCUAACUACGUG